Molecule: small RNA, 105 nt
Filed under: Pseudomonas aeruginosa
Lineage: Bacteria; Pseudomonadati; Pseudomonadota; Gammaproteobacteria; Pseudomonadales; Pseudomonadaceae
Description: partial RtT sRNA
Rfam family: RtT RNA
About the family: This family represents a bacterial cis-regulatory element known as RtT RNA. The exact function of RtT is unknown although it is thought that it may be involved in changing the cellular response in relation to amino acid starvation.
Source: RNAcentral
UGUUUGCACUUAGCGGGAAGGGUAAGAACCUUCGACUAAGGUUCGACUCGAGCGAAGCGAGAGAACGUUGCCACAGGCAACGGCCCGAAGGGCGAGGAGAGAUAG